UGUCAUUGUAGUGUAGAGAUGGAGUACAACAUAACACACACUAAUUUACAUUAUUUCAGCUCAUUAUUCCGUGGUGUUUACCUUUCUAAUGCUUAAUUUUUUUCUCUUUACACCUCUAAUUUUUUUUAGAUAAUGGAUUAUAUUAAACCCGGCCUCUACACCUUGUGAGGGUGUACACAGCCCAAAUGAAAAGAAUCUGAGUACAUGAGACUCUCCCCAAAACAUGGGACAAACCGUUUAACAUAUAAGAUACACAAGCAUCCAGGAAAACUAAAGACUAAGCUUCAAUCCUUCCUCUGAAAUUCCACCCGUCCCCAGCGAAAAAUUCCAUCAGUCGCCUUUCCAGCAGUUCUCUCCUAGUUACCACUUCAAUUCCUUCAUCUUCUUUAAGAAGCAAAGACCAAAGUGUGGCCAGCUGCGUUGCUUUGAAUAGAACCUGCAAGAAAGAAACAAUUUUGUAGCCAUUAAAGACUAUAUCAUUCCUACUUAGCCACAACGCCCAACAAACUGCCGCUAUUGCCACCCAUGUUUGUCUUUUUAAACUAGGUUCUAGACCCCUUAACCAACUUCCGAAAAGAUGAGAUUUAUUCCGUGGUUGUUUGAUCCCAAAAGAAAUAUAAAUCGUGCUCCAAAUGUGUCGAGCCAUUAUACAAUCAAAGAAGAGAUGCUGAACUGUCUCCUUAGCGUGACAAAAGCUACACAACAGACUUCCUUUCCAAUUUCUUUUAGCGAGACUAUCUUUUGUUAGGCAAACCCCUUUUUCCAAGCCAUUAACCUUUAGAGGAAUCCUUAGCUUCCAAAUUAGUGAUUUCCUAGGUAUGACAUCAUUGAGCAUAAGACUCCUGUACAUGGAGCUAACUAAGAACAUUCCUUUUUUGUUAUUUUUGCAGUAGAAUUGGUCUCGCUUAUCGUUUAGGUUGAUAUUCACCACCCUUGAAACGAUGUCUAACCAAUCCUCCAAACUUCUUCCUACAAUUGCUCUUCUAAAAGAGACAUUCAAAGGGGUCUUUCCUAACACAUCCGCAACCACCAUAUUCUUUUUCCUAACCAGUCUGUACAAGUUUGGAAAUUCCUCUUGGAAAGAUUGGUUGCCCCACCACUUAUCUUCCCAGAACCUUAUUUGUUUUCCACUAUUCACAAUGAAAUGGCCAAGUUCUUGGAAGGUUUCUUUUGCUGUCAUCAGUCCAGCCCAAAAAUGGGAGUCUCCUGGUUGUUUCUGGGCCUGAAAAAAGGUUUUCUUUGCCAAGUAUUUCCUUCUCAACAUUUGCUGCCACAAACCUUCUUCGUUAAAAAGCUUAAAAAUUCAUUUGCUCAGUAAACAUUUGUUUUGCGUUGCUAAAUCCUGAAUUCCUAACCCCCCACAUUCCUUUGGUUUGCAGAUCACACUCCACCUAGCAAGUCUAUACUUCUUUUUGUUCUCAUCGUAUUGCCAAAAAAAUCUGGAUCUGUAAUAGUCUAGUUUCUUUAAAAUUCAUUUAGGUAUUUCAAAGAAGGAUGUCAUAUACAACGCUAACCCGCUUAAGACUGAAUUAAUGAGCACUAGUCUCCCUCCAGUCAAUAAGAAUUUUCCUUUCCAACUGCUUAGCCUUUUUUCAAACCUGCUUUCCAAUUCUUUCCAAUCCUUGGUCAUCAGACUCUUGUAGUGCAUAGGUAAUCCUAAAUAUUUGAGAGGGAAAGCCCCCAUUUUACAACCGAAAAGAUGAGAGAAAAUUUCUUCUUCUUCUCUGGCCUUGCCAAAAAAAAAAUAGCCCACUCUUAUGAAAAUUGAUUUUAAGGCCUGAUAAUUUCUCAUAGGCACCUAGGAUCAAUUUGAGAUUCUUGGCUCCAUCCAUAUCAUUUUCCAAAAAGAGAAUAGUAUCAUCCGCAUACUGUAAAAUUGACAGCCCAUUAUCAAUUAAAUUUGGUACCACUCCAUAUGUCAAACCUUUUUCAACCGAUCUAUUCAACAGGAUUGCAAGCAUGUUUGCAACCAGAUUAAACAUAAUUGGUGAAAGAGGGUCUCCCUGUCGCAAACCUUUUUUUGUCUGAAAGUAGUGCCCGAUAUCAUCAUUCAUUUUUACUGCCACGCUUCCUCCUGAAACUAUCUGUUUUAUCCAAAGACGGUCUACUUGUAAAGCCUUUCAUUCUCAGAGUUUGUUGCAGGAAGCUCCAAUCUACCAUAUCAUAAGAUUUUUUCGAAAUCAAGUUUCAAGAUCACCCCAUCCAUCUUUUUCUGGUGCAUCUCAUGUAGUGUCUCGUGGAGAAUAAUGGCGCCUUCCUUAAUAUUCCUUCCUUUCAAGAAAGCAGCCUGUGAAGGCCCAAUGACAUUCUUCGCUACUAGAGCGAUCCGGUUUGUCAUGACCUUUGUAAAUAUUUUAUAACUUACAUUAAGUAAGCAUAUUGGUCUAAAUUGCUGUAAUUUCCAUGCUUCCUUACUCUUUGGUAGAAGAGUAAUGAUUCCAAAGUUCAGGCUUUCCAACGAUAAAUCUCCCCUGUGGAAAUCUCUAAAUACUGCCAUGAGGUCAUCCUUAAUAAUUCCCCAGAAAGUUUGAUAAAACUCCACCGGGAAUCCGUCCAGGCCUGGGGCUUUAUUAUGCUCCAUUUGAAAAAUGGCUUUUCUGACUUCUUCUUCUUCAACAUCUCUUGUUAACACCUUAUUUUCUAAUGCUGACACCUGUGGUAUAUCCUCUUUUAGAUCCUCAAUCAUAGAGAAAUUAUUUCUUUUGGGGGCUCCAAAAAGGAUUUUAUAGAAUUUAGUUGCGUACUGCCAAAGCUCGUUUUCACCUUUUAUCACCUCCUCAUCUUGUUCUAGCUGAAAAAUCCUCGUUUUCCUAUGUUUACCGUUUGCUAUCAUGUGAUAGUAUUUUGUAUUGUUGUCCCCUUCCAAAAUCCUCUUUGUCUUAGCUCUUUGAUACCAUUUAGUUUCUUCUUCCCUCAACAUUUUUGCUAAAGCCUGCUUGACUGAAUUUUUUAGCUCAAGUUCUUAACUAGUCAAGAGUCUUAUCUCGGCUAAUUUAUCCAGCUCAUCCGCUUUUGCUAUUAAUUUUCCUUUUGCCUUUUUAUAGAUACCACUAACGUUUUUUGCCCAUUCUCUAAGAAAUUGACGGAGCCUUAGAAUUUUAUUUUGCCAUUUCUCCAUGUUAUUUCUUCCUUUGACAUCUUUGGACCAACUAUUGAUUACCACUUGAUGGAAGUUCUCCCUCUGCAGCCAUCCUAAUUCGAAUUUGAACAAGGGUUGGUUAUUUUUUGUUGCCCCUUUCCCUGUAUCUAGCAACAAGGGGGUGUGAUCUGAGAGCUCUCGACCAAGAGCUCGAAUUGUCACCAACGGGUUCUUGUCUUCCCAUUCCGUGUUAACCAGAACCCUAUCCAACUUUUCAUAAGUUGGGUUUGGUAGGGAAUUUGCCCAUGUAUACUUACGACCUGAAAGCGCUAUCUCUCUCAAAUUUAAGCUAUCAAUAACAGCAUUAAAAAGAAAGUGCCAUUUAUUAUCAAAGUUCACCUUAUUUUUUUCCUGCGGGUUUCUUAAGAUAUUAAAAUCUCCCCCUAUUACCAUAGGUAAUGCCUCCUUUUCGCAAGAAUUGACAAGUUCAGCAAGAAAUGCUUCAUUGUAUUCAUCCUGAGCUGCCCCAUAAAUAGCAACCAAAAUCCAUUGGAGUGCGUCUUCUUUGUUUUGUAAAUGAAACUUCACAUAGAAGUCACCUUCAUCUAUGCUUGAAACAUCAAAUACUUCCAAAUUGACUCCAAGUAAAAUUCCUCCACUUCUACCCUUCGGCCUUGUCCCAUGCCAUAAGAAAUCCCUUGCUCCGCAAAUGUUUUUCAGCCACGAAUCCGCAUACUUAUUUUUACCGGUUUCUAGAAGAGCAAUAAAGUCUAGCUUUUGCUCUUUAGAUAAUUCCGAAAGAAAUCUUGUUUUAGCCAAGUCUUUACGACCUCUGCUAUUCCAAAAUAUUCUUUUCAUUGAUAUUUUCUUUUAUUUCCUAUUCUAAGCCCUACCCUCCCUUUCUUCUUCUUGGGGUCUCUCUUAAUUUUUGACCAGUUGUUAAUCAAGACAUCAUCCUCAGAAUCGCACCUUAGGUGCAGGUCCUCCUCAUCCAUGACUUCUUCCAACACAUCAUCACAUAAGAAAUUAAGCAAUAUACUGUCCUCCUGCUCCUCCUCCUCUAUUAAAAUAGAAGGGCUACCAACUUCCCCAUGUAUUUCAGCCAAAUCAGCAUCCAUACAUCCUAAGUUUUUAGUUUUGUGAGAAUUAUCCUCCCUUAAAAGAAAAAUUGAUUCAGACCUUAAAGCAUUAGUUUCUCCUAGGUUUAGUCCUAAGUCAACUAAAUUUUUAACAAUAUUAUCUUGCAAAGUAAGGGAACCUGAGAAUUUAGCUUCAGUACCUGUGCCUAAGUCGAGGUUCAUCCUCGCCUUCUUGGAUUUCGCUUUUUCGAGGGAGUGCUCUCUAUUGCUGUCUCUCAGCCUCUCACUGGCACUUUCGGUGUUGUCACCACUUUUGCAACAUUGGCUAGCCUAGCAAUCUUCUCUUGCUGCACCAUUCCUUCAAUAUCUUCUUUCUCUUCUCUCUCAACCUUCUCAUGCACCUCCUCUAGAACUUCUUUGACUGCCAGGUCCAAAAUGUUAUCCGCCAUUAACUGCACCUCUCCUUCUUUGUCAAAAUCUUUAGCUUCAAGAGCUUCUUUUCCUCCAUCUUUUUUCUUUUCAUAAUUACCAUCCAUAACCACAUCAUCCUUUUCCAUCAUUUCCCUUUUUAUUCUCCCCUUCUUCCUUUCCUGUUCCGUCCUCCCCUCCUUCCACAUUGCCAUCUUCAUCAUCUCCAUCCCCUUCAUCCAAAUUAAACCCCUUUUUUCUCUACCUCAAUUUUUAAUUCAAAGUAAUGGUCCCCAAUCACCACAUCCAGCAUCCUGGGGAUUAACUUUGGGUUAAGCACUGCUACGAAAACCCGACCGAAGUCAUUUUGCCUAGUGGUUUUCAUGUUGACCAACUGCGUAGCCCCUAAAAGCGACCCUACUGCCCACAACGUUAAAUACUCCCUUAGUUUCUUUCUCAGCCCAAAAAUCCUAACCCAGACUUUAGGUAGGAGAAAACCUUCUUCUUCUUCCACCCAUUCAUCGAACUCCACCCUUACACCCGUAGCUAUUCCUCCUUCCUUCACAUCUGCUCCACCAAAGUUUAUAGCCCGCUGCAAUUCUCCUUUUGUCGGAAACGGAACAGUGAAGGUAUUGUUACCUUGCGGUACCGGUUCCCAUUUCCAUUUGGCUGGACAAUUUUUUUGGAGCAAUGAGAUCAACCAUCUACUGAUAGAAUACCUCCAACCACACGCACCAGUGCCUUCUUAGUAUUUUUCUUACUCAUUUGAAGUGGGUGAUGGUAUAUAUGCUGGAAUUCUAGACCCUCAACCGCAUAUCCCACCGCCUGCACCCCUGGUUUUGGAAGCUUCAGGAUUGGACAUUUGUGGUUGACAUGCUCGCUGCUAUCGCAGAUAUCACAAUACACCUCCACAAUACACUCAGUACUUGUAUGUCCCUUUUGAGUGCACCUGGAACAAACUAUCCCUCUUUCUGAACACCUCCACCCCCUUUCUGAACAUCUCCCUUGUUAUUACUAAACAAAAGCUGCACUUCUCCACCUUCCAGCAAACCAUCUUCAUCAGCAAACUCAAGUGUAGGAAUUUUACCUUUCUUUUCUUUUGCCUUCAUCAGGACCACUACUUCUCCCACCUUGCUCUGCCCUGGAUUCAAGUUUCCUUCUCCUCUAUCUGCCUCAUUUUUUGAUUUCAAAGACUCACCAAAAGUCCUAUCGAUAUCCUCCUCCAUUGGAAUCGGGUCGUCCCAUCGACGCUUGAACACAUUCCUGCCCACUUGUUGAUUUCCACCCCCAGCACCAUAACCUCCCCCCUGUUGUCCAGCUCUUCCAGGGAGGCCACCCCUUCUUGCUCUGUCUCCUGCCCCCCGUGGCCUAAAACCGAAAGGCGGUCUUGUUCUUCCCCCGUUUCCUUGCCUGAAGCUGAUUCUGGGCUGGAAACAUAGCUGAUCUUCCUCUGCUCCCAUCGUACUGCCUCGUUCCUUCCCCAAGCUCCUCCGCCAUGGUGUGCCCAGGCCCCUCCACCACGGUGGCUCAUGCCUUCCGCCGCCGAACGCAGUCGCUGGGGAUCACGAUGCCUCUCUUUUUCCUCUCCUCCUGUCUGUUCAACUUUCUUUGUUGUGACCACCACCCUCCCAGUUGCCAGUGUGAGUGGCUUCCGGUCCUCAUUAGCAAGCGGCCCACCCCAGGGUAGAAUACAAUCGGUUUUUUGGAGCCAGUGCCCCAAUAAAACUCCUUAAAUGUGAAUUUCUCAAAAGGUCUCGAAAUUAAACUGACCUGCAAAGUUGCCUCCUUGAUUCCCUCGGCAAAUCCUCUUUUCAGAUUUUGGGUUCUGACACCGAGGAUCACCUGUUCUUCCCCUUUCUUCUUCCCUCCCGGCUCCCUUUCAAUCACAAUUUCCCUGUCAAUUUCUUUUUUAUCCGAGCAAGGUGUUGCCUUAGGCUUUUGUUUCUUGAGACGCAUGGCCUCAGCCAGCUUGUCCCCGAUGGUGAGACAUUGCGAGCGUCUAGCGCCCGGCAGUGGUCCUCUCCAUGGUUUACAUCGGCUGUUAUUUUUGCUUGCAACCGCAUCAACUAUUCUUCUCGCUUGCUCACCGUUUUUCCUAGCUCCUUUGUUCUUAGAACAUGAUCUGGGUAUCUUUUUUUGGUGCUAGCAGCAGAUGUUCUCCCGCACGGAGCACCUCAUCCCCUGUGAAACCUUCAGCCAUCGCCCUCUCCAAGAAAACAACAUCGCUAUCUCGUCCUUCACUGCACUCAACAUCCGUCUCUGGUUCUGUUGGUUCAUCUUCAUCAUCCGAUGAUUCUAAAUUCUCCCCAAGAGCCCAGAAUCUAGAGCCAGCAAAACACUUGGACGGAGCUGAAGAACAAAACGAUCUACCAACAUAGCUAACCGUUGAUAGGGAAUCCCCCGCCGGUGGUAACAUAGGAGAUGAUAAUCUCCCGCUACCUUGCUUGCCAACCGGCCUCUCCUCUAACCGUUGCUCAGAAAACCUUUGCUUACCUGAUGAUGGCGGUGCUGUUGUCGGGGAGUCCAGUUCGUCCGCCCACCACCUGCCCGAAGAAGCCUUGAUGGCCCAGCUCACCUUCUCUCACAAUCUCAGUGGUGUAUACACGAACACAAGCUCGCUAGCUUCUCUCGGUGGAUGGAAACACACAUAUGCACAGGAACAAAAGAAGUAGCACACACAGAAGUUACUCGGUACUGCCCACCAGCACCAGAACUUGCACUUAUAUUCAG
Molecule: long non-coding RNA, 7296 nt
Filed under: Oryza brachyantha (malo sina)
Lineage: Eukaryota; Viridiplantae; Streptophyta; Magnoliopsida; Poales; Poaceae
Description: long non-coding RNA (OBRA_LNC002586)
Source: RNAcentral